UACGUAGGGGGCGAGCGUUGUCCGGAUUUAUUGGGCGUAAAGAGCGUGUAGGCGGCCAGGUAGGUCUGCUGUGAAAGUCAAAGGCUCAACCUUUGAAUGUCAGCGGAUACUGCCGGGCUAGAGUCCGGAAGAGGCGAGUGGAACUCCUGGUGUAGCGGUGGAAUGCGCAGAUAUCAGGAAGAACACCCGUGGCGAAGGCGGCUCUCUGGGACGGUACUGACGCUGAGACGCGAAAGCGUGGGGAGCGAACAGG
RNAcentral lists this ribosomal RNA (253 nucleotides) under uncultured bacterium. RNAcentral describes it as "partial 16S ribosomal RNA". It matches the Rfam family "Bacterial small subunit ribosomal RNA", at positions 524 to 776 of the family's 1533-position model. The record is from RNAcentral.